This 121-nucleotide ribosomal RNA is filed under the name Helianthus annuus (common sunflower). Lineage: Eukaryota; Viridiplantae; Streptophyta; Magnoliopsida; Asterales; Asteraceae. The record is from RNAcentral.
GGUUGCGAUCAAACCAGCACUAAUGCACCGGAUCUCAUCUGAACUCCGCAGUUAAGCGCGCUUGGGGCGAUUCUAGUACGAGGAUGGGUGAACCCCCUGGGAAGUCCUCAUGUUGCAACCU